Molecule: ribosomal RNA, 578 nt
Filed under: Centrorhynchus milvus
Lineage: Eukaryota; Metazoa; Acanthocephala; Palaeacanthocephala; Polymorphida; Centrorhynchidae
Description: 12S ribosomal RNA
Source: RNAcentral
UCUAGUUAAUUUUGAUAGGAGCAAUCUGGUCUUAGUAAUUGAAGGAAGUCGAAGGUGUGCUAUAAUGGGGAUUGUGUUUAUGGGUGUAAACGUGAUAAUGCCGAAACUAGUUAAAAUCGUGCCAGCAGCUGCGGUUAUACGAUUAGAGGGGUUGAUGAGUUAGUGGGGAGCUUUAGUCUAAGAAUGGGAGGUGAAAUUCGAAGUUUGAAGUAAGAAGCGGAUUAGAUGUCUUUACGAAGCAGAUUAGAUACCUGUGUAGGAGUGUAAAGUUAAGAUGGGAGGAAUAUUUUAAUAGUGUGGCGGUGCAUCUGAAAGACAGGGGGACUUGGGCUGGGAUAAUUAACCGGAGGGGAAAGGACUGUGUCUUCUUGUAUGAUUGUUUGGACUGAGUACGGUUCGAAACAAAUGACAUAGGGGAGGUUUGUUUGACCUGAGUUUUUGGGGUAUUAAGAAUAAAGGAUUUGUGAGUAGUGGAGAGAGUAUGAACAGAUCAGAUGCGAGUACAUAUCGCCCGUCAACACCCCCAGGGUGUAAGUCGUAACAUAGUGACUUUACUAGAAAGUGAAGUUGCCAGUAGC